This 499-nucleotide ribosomal RNA is filed under the name uncultured bacterium. Its description in RNAcentral is "bacterial SSU rRNA". It matches the Rfam family "Bacterial small subunit ribosomal RNA", at positions 28 to 519 of the family's 1533-position model. The record is from RNAcentral.
GAUGAACGCUAGCGGCAGGCUUAAUACAUGCAAGUCGAGGGGCAGCAGGGGUGUAGCAAUACACUCGCUGGCGACCGGCAAACGGGUGCGGAACACGUACGCAAUCUACCCAAAACUGGUGAAUAGCCCUCCGAAAGGAGGAUUAAUACACCGUAACUUAAGGAAGUGGCAUCACUAUCUUAAUAUAGCUCCGGCGGUUUUGGAUGAGCGUGCGCCUGAUUAGGAGUUGGCGGGGUAACGGCCCACCAAGCCUACGAUCAGUAACUGGUGUGAGAGCACGACCAGUCACACGGGCACUGAGACACGGGCCCGACUCCUACGGGAGGCAGCAGUAAGGAAUAUUGGUCAAUGGACGCAAGUCUGAGCCAGCCAUGCCGCGUGAAGGAUGAAGGUCCUCUGGAUUGUAAACUUCUUUUAUCUGGGACGAAACCCGGGAAUUCUUUCCCGAUUGACGGUACCAGAGGAAUAAGCACCGGCUAACUCCGUGCCAGCAGCCGCU